AGGUUAAGCCUCACGGUUCAUUAGUACCGGUUAGCUCAACGCAUCGCUGCGCUUACACACCCGGCCUAUCAACGUCGUCGUCUUCAACGUUCCUUCAGGAGACUCUAAGUCUCAGGGAGAACUUAUCUCGGGGCAAGUUUCGUGCUUAGAUGCUUUCAGCACUUAUCUCUUCCGCAUUUAGCUACCGGGCAGUGCCAUUGGCAUGACAACCCGAACACCAGUGAUGCGUCCACUCCGGUCCUCUCGUACUAGGAGCAGCCCCCCUCAGUUCUCCAGCGCCCACGGCAGAUAGGGACCGAACUGUCUCACGACGUUCUAAACCCAGCUCGCGUACCACUUUAAAUGGCGAACAGCCAUACCCUUGGGACCUACUUCAGCCCCAGGAUGUGAUGAGCCGACAUCGAGGUGCCAAACACCGCCGUCGAUAUGAACUCUUGGGCGGUAUCAGCCUGUUAUCCCCGGAGUACCUUUUAUCCGUUGAGCGAUGGCCCUUCCAUUCAGAACCACCGGAUCACUAUGACCUGCUUUCGCACCUGCUCGCGCCGUCACGCUCGCAGUCAAGCUGGCUUAUGCCAUUGCACUAACCUCCUGAUGUCCGACCAGGAUUAGCCAACCUUCGUGCUCCUCCGUUACUCUUUAGGAGGAGACCGCCCCAGUCAAACUACCCACCAGACACUGUCCGCAACCCGGGUAACGGGUCCACGUUAGAACAUCAAACAUUAAAGGGUGGUAUUUCAAGGUCGGCUCCAUGCAGACUGGCGUCCACACUUCAAAGCCUCCCACCUAUCCUACACAUCAAGGCUCAAUGUUCAGUGUCAAGCUAUAGUAAAGGUUCACGGGGUCUUUCCGUCUUGCCGCGGGUACACUGCAUCUUCACAGCGAGUUCAAUUUCACUGAGUCUCGGGUGGAGACAGCCUGGCCAUCAUUACGCCAUUCGUGCAGGUCGGAACUUACCCGACAAGGAAUUUCGCUACCUUAGGACCGUUAUAGUUACGGCCGCCGUUUACCGGGGCUUCGAUCAGGAGCUUCGCUUGCGCUGACCCCAUCAAUUAACCUUCCGGCACCGGGCAGGCGUCACACCGUAUACGUCCACUUUCGUGUUUGCACAGUGCUGUGUUUUUAAUAAACAGUUGCAGCCAGCUGGUAUCUUCGACUGACUUCAGCUCCAUGAGUAAAUCACUUCACCUACGUGUCAGCGUGCCUUCUCCCGAAGUUACGGCACCAUUUUGCCUAGUUCCUUCACCCGAGUUCUCUCAAGCGCCUUGGUAUUCUCUACCUGACCACCUGUGUCGGUUUGGGGUACGAUUUGAUGUUACCUGAUGCUUAGAGGCUUUUCCUGGAAGCAGGGCAUUUGUUGCUUCAGCACCGUAGUGCCUCGUCGUCACGCCUCAGUGUUAAAGUGAACCGGAUUUACCUGGAACACACACCUACACGCUUAAACCGGGACAACCGUCGCCCGGCCAACAUAGCCUUCUCCGUCCCCCCUUCGCAGUAACACCAAGUACAGGAAUAUUAACCCGUUUCCCAUCGACUACGCCUUUCGGCCUCGCCUUAGGGGUCGACUCACCCUGCCCCGAUUAACGUUGGACAGGAACCCUUGGUCUUCCGGCGAGCGGGCUUUUCACCCGCUUUAUCGUUACUUAUGUCAGCAUUCGCACUUCUGAUACCUCCAGCAUGCCUCACGACACACCUUCACAGGCUUACAGAACGCUCCCCUACCCAACGAACGUAUCCCUAAGCCAACUCGACUUUAAUGAACGCUUUGACGUCGCUUCGCUCCGUCAAUCGUCAACUCCGUAAAGUUGUCUUGGGUGAUACGUUCGCUGCCGCAGCUUCGGUGCAUGGUUUAGCCCCGUUACAUCUUCCGCGCAGGCCGACUCGACCAGUGAGCUAUUACGCUUUCUUUAAAUGAUGGCUGCUUCUAAGCCAACAUCCUGGCUGUCUGGGCCUUCCCACAUCGUUUCCCACUUAACCAUGACUUUGGGACCUUAGCUGGCGGUCUGGGUUGUUUCCCUCUUCACGACGGACGUUAGCACCCGCCGUGUGUCUCCCGUGAUAACAUUCUCCGGUAUUCGCAGUUUGCAUCGGGUUGGUAAGCCGGGAUGGCCCCCUAGCCGAAACAGUGCUCUACCCCCGGAGAUGAAUUCACGAGGCGCUACCUAAAUAGCUUUCGGGGAGAACCAGCUAUCUCCCGGUUUGAUUGGCCUUUCACCCCCAGCCACAGGUCAUCCGCUAAUUUUUCAACAUUAGUCGGUUCGGUCCUCCAGUUAGUGUUACCCAACCUUCAACCUGCCCAUGGCUAGAUCACCGGGUUUCGGGUCUAUACCCUGCAACUUAACGCCCAAUUAAGACUCGGUUUCCCUCCGGCUCCCCUAUUCGGUUAACCUUGCUACAGAAUAUAAGUCGCUGACCCAUUAUACAAAAGGUACGCAGUCACCCCACCACUAAGCCCCCUCUGCUUGUUUUGCGGUUGAACGUCGCUUUCGCUCCGUUAACCGUAUCCUCAGCAAAGGAUGCGGAUGUGGAGUUCACCACUGGCUUAGUGGUGGGGCUCCCACUGCUUGUACGUACACGGUUUCAGGUUCUUUUUCACUCCCCUCGCCGGGGUUCUUUUCGCCUUUCCCUCACGGUACUGGUUCACUAUCGGUCAGUCAGGAGUAUUUAGCCUUGGAGGAUGGUCCCCCCAUAUUCAGACAGGAUACCACGUGUCCCGCCCUACUCAUCGAGCUCACAGCACAUGCGCUUUUGUGUACGGGGCUGUCACCCUGUAUCGCGCGCCUUUCCAGACGCUUCCACUAACACACAUGCUGAUUCAGGCUCUGGGCUCCUCCCCGUUCGCUCGCCGCUACUGGGGGAAUCUCGGUUGAUUUCUUUUCCUCGGGGUACUUAGAUGUUUCAGUUCCCCCGGUUCGCCUCAUUAACCUAUGGAUUCAGUUAAUGAUAGUGUGACGAAUCACACUGGGUUUCCCCAUUCGGGUAUCGCCGGUUAUAACGGUUCAUAUCACCUUACCGGCGCUUAUCGCAGAUUAGCACGCCCUUCAUCGCCUCUGACUGCCAGGGCAUCCACCGUGUACGCUUAGUCGCUUAA
This 3088-nucleotide ribosomal RNA is filed under the name Salmonella enterica subsp. enterica. RNAcentral's name for it is "23S ribosomal RNA". The record is from RNAcentral. Lineage: Bacteria; Pseudomonadati; Pseudomonadota; Gammaproteobacteria; Enterobacterales; Enterobacteriaceae.